Long non-coding RNA from Hemiscyllium ocellatum (epaulette shark), 3552 nucleotides. RefSeq lists it as uncharacterized. Lineage: Eukaryota; Metazoa; Chordata; Chondrichthyes; Orectolobiformes; Hemiscylliidae. The transcript is spliced from 3 exons. The record is from RefSeq and is a predicted model, not a curated record.
UUCCCCAAAGUUUCUGAAAGAGGGAACAACCCUCUGAAGUUUUUUUUAAAUAAAGAGGGAACACCCCCGAGGUUUUUAAAAGUGGGGAAACCCGCUCUGAAGUUUUCAAAUAAGGAGGGAACACCCCCGAGGUUUUUAAACUGACAGGGGACAGGCGAAGUUGUCGAAGAGACGAAAUGAUGUGAGUGCGGACUCCCAGCUCUCUCCCUUACCCCGCCAUGGCCGCGCUGGCGAGCAGCGACAGCAAACACAGCGCAUUCCUCACAGGGCCCUCCGACACCUUCCCUCUCGCAGGCUGCUCCCUCGGACCGUCGCUCUGCUUGCCACCGGCCACGUUCUUCUUCCUCUGCUUCACUUCACUGGACAUCUUCUCAACACCACCAGUGCCUCCCCCGGGCCCGGGCGUUCGCCAAUUUCUGACCUAAUUCCGGCAACCCAGCGGCGAUCUCCGCCCUCCCUUUCCAAACCCGGACGCGCGUACGCUGAACACAAACCAGUCAGUUCUGCCCUUUUAGUUUUUGUCUCUCAAAAGGGUUUCCUUUGAGUCAACACGAUCUAACAUCUUGCACGUUGAGGUGCCAGAGCACGGGAGAACUGCCAGUCUGCAGGGAACGUGGGGCAAUGGGAUUUUCGGUGGACCUCCAGUUCCCAGGCAGUUUUCUGGGGAGCUGGUUUGACUCUCGCCAAGAUUCAGCCGUUGUCUAGAAUUAAUAAUGACAAUGGCACAACAUCCAUCUGGAUCACUACUAUUCAUCCUGACUCUUAGCUGCCCGCAUGAAAUGGUACGAUUUAGCCUGAAGUCUAGAUUAGGUUAGAUUCCCUACAGUGUGAAAACAGGCCCUUCGGCCCAACCAGUCCUCACCGACUCUCCCAAGAGUAACUAGACCCAUUUUCCUCUGACUAAUGCACUUAACACUGUGGCCAGUUUAGCAUGGCCAGUUCACCAGACCUGCACAUCUUUGGACUGUGGGAGGAAACUGGAGCACCCAGAGGAAACCCAUGCAGACUCAGGGAGAAUGUGCAAACUCCACACAGUCGCCCAAGACUGGAUUUGAACCUGGGACCCUGGUGCUGUGAGGCAGCAGUGCUAACCACUGAGCCACUAUGCUGCCCUAAGAAGGGAAUUAAUUGACCUCUCCCCCUUAUAAGAAUAACCAAAACCUAAAACAAAAUAAAGAACUGGGUAUUCCAGAGAUCUGAAACAAAAGCAAACAUUCUUGGAGAAACUCAGCAGCUCUGGCAGAAUUUGUGGGAAGAAUGCAGAGUUAAUUUUGGAGUCCAAUGACUCUUCAUUCUUAAGCCAACUGAGCCUGCAACAGUCCUCAACUGUUUUUGGAACACUUUAUCUCAAAUUAGUCAAGCAACAGUCUGACAAUUAUACCCAGGAAAUCAUAUCCACCGCACAGUGUCCUAGCCAUUUUCAUUGCAAAGGUGGUGGCACAGUGAUGUACAAUCUGGAGGGAGUUUCCUGGAAGUCUUCGACAUUGAAGUCGCAUGGCAAUAUGUCAAAUAGGUGCAAUGAAAGCACUUGCUGAAUACCUCAUACCACCCUUCCUCAGCUGAUAAAUCAGUGCUUCUUCAUGUUAAACACUACCUGGAUGAAGCACAGAAGUGGUAUGAGAGCAGAAUAUACUCUGGUUGGGAGACUUCAAUGUUGACCAAAAAGAGUGGCUCAGCAGAGCCACCGCUGACUGAGCUGGUUGAGUCCUAAAAAUAUAGCUGCUUGACUGAGAUUACAACAGGAAUUGAGGACAAUCCUGUGGAGAAUGAAGGAUCACACUUCAAUAUUUCUGCUUCUGUCCAUUAAUACAGCUGUCCAUGACAGCAUUAUGACUGCUGUACAGUCUUUUGUGGAGCCAAUAUCCUUUCUUCCUAUUGAAGAUAUCCUGCACCAUGAUUGUGGCUCUAAAAGAGCGAUGAGGAGAGAGGGUGGAGAGAACCGAAGGCUGCUGGGAAGGCUGCUACCAGACCCACUGAGUAGAAUCAUACAAUCGCUACAGUGCAGAAAGUGACAAUUCAGCCUAUCGAGUCUGCAUCAAUCCUCCAAAGAGCAUCUCACUCAGACACACUCUGUCCCCAUAACCCCACAUUGUACUAUGGUUAACCCACCUAACCUGCACAUCCCUGGACAGGGCAGUUUACCAUGGCCAAUAGACCUCACUUGCACUGUGAGAGGAAACAGGAGCACCUGGAGGAAACCCACACAAUACUUGGAGAAUGUACAAACUCUACACAGGCAGUCACCCAAUGCAGGAAUCAAACCCAGGCCCCUGGUAUUGUGAGGCAGUAGUUCAGAAUAAAAGGAAAGUAAUUCAGUGACAAAAAUAACAAUACUGUAAGGCAAAAAAGUGUGGUACAGAAAUAAACAUGAAUUUAGAGGUGGUGUAAAUGGGGAUUACAGAAACAUUAUUAGUAUUGGCUGCCUGAGGAAAUGGAAGCAAUGGGUUCUGAAACUCUUCAACUCAAUGUUGUUUCCAGAGGACUGCAAAGUGCCCUGUGAAAUGUGAGGGCCUUUUCUUCAGGGGUUCUGUUGAAUUUUAUUUUAACACCCUAGGAGGCCAAGAACAGUGAAAUCAGAGUGAAAUGGGAUAGAGCUUCACCUUUUUCUGUGGCCAAGGAAAUAAGAAACUAAAUAACAUCACAAUUCUUAUGCUUGUGUUCAUCUGUACAUUUAUGUAAAGGAAAGAGAAAGUAAAGUCUCGGAAAGCAAUAUAACCCAAAAAAUUGGCAUAGGUUGGCUCUGAGGCAAUAAUCCCAAGAAAACUCCAUAUCUGAUUUUUGAUCUAUGUGAAUAAUUUUAUGCAUGAACAUUUUGUACAUUUUGGACAAGCUUACUUAGCUACUGAACAAAUUGUUCACCAUCCUACUUCCUCUUCUGUACUCCAUAUUAGUUAAUGUUAUGAAGUAUGUAUUUUCCUGAAGGACUGGUUUUCAAAUCUGCCAUCAUCAGGUAUCAGGAUAAAAUACCUUUUACUCCUCUGACCUUGCAAACUGUUGCCUCACCCUUAACCUCUCUUUCAUCUCCAAAAUGUUUGAACAUGUUUCAAAUAACUCCACAGAGGCCACUAUGUCAUCACCAAGUCACCCUUUAUUUACACAUGGAGAGGCCUUGACACUGAUCCGGCUCUGAUAGUGAAAAGAUGUCUGACAUUCCUGUUCUUAUCUGUCAGCCCGGACUCCCUGAUUGUAGUUGAUAAUCUGGUCCAAUAAAGGAAAUCCUAUUCUAUGAGGACCACCUAGCUGACCUUGUUACAAUCACUACAAUAUUUUUGCCUGUGUAGCUGUGUAUUUUUCAGGUUGGAGGAGCUGUAUGCAGACAGAUUGCUUAGCAUUUGGUAAAGUUAUAAUUGACUUUGUGGAAUCGAGUAAUGACACCUGACAUGGGAUUAACUUCUCAAUCAUGUUGACUUCCCUGGUGACCUUAAUCACUCAUUUGACACCAAAUUGCGCAGGCCAAAACCAUCUUUUUGCAUAUAAAAACACUCAUCAAAUAGUUUUUAAAAAAUCAUUACAAUCCUAAAAUGAGAUAGAAAUUCUCACAGUUUAACAAUA